AUGCCAUGGCUAUUGAUUGGGGACCUGAAUGAAAUUCAGUUCUUGUCUGAAAAGGAAGGAGGGAACCUGAGACCGCCGCAGUACAUGCAGGCCUUCCAGUCGGCGAUUGAUGACUGCGGAUUGCGGGACAUGGGUUAUAUAGGUGAUCACUUUACGUGGCAGCGAGGUGAAAUCAGGGCGAGGUUGGAUAGAGGGCUAAUAAACGCCGGUUGGGAAGAUAUGUACCCAUCGGCGGUACUGCAACACUUGCUAUACAAUCAUUCGGACCACCGCCCAAUUUUG
RNAcentral lists this ribosomal RNA (282 nucleotides) under Triticum aestivum (bread wheat). Its description in RNAcentral is "partial small subunit ribosomal RNA". Lineage: Eukaryota; Viridiplantae; Streptophyta; Magnoliopsida; Poales; Poaceae. The record is from RNAcentral.